Molecule: long non-coding RNA, 2814 nt
Organism: Halichondria panicea
Lineage: Eukaryota; Metazoa; Porifera; Demospongiae; Suberitida; Halichondriidae
Exons: 7
Source: RefSeq, a predicted model, not a curated record
GAUUCAGUCAGUUUUGAAGCUCUGAGCAAGUGAUCAAACUAUUUGUCUGUAUUGGUGGAGGCUGAAGACAUGAGUCCAUGGACAGGGACUACUGAGGAACCUUCAUCAAGAACAAGGUAAUGUACUUAUUCGUAAAUAAUUACAAAACGAGAGGUCAUUUCUUUUGGAGGUUGAGAAAAAUUCCUGGUGUUGCAUAUUUAUAGGGUCGCAUCUAAUUGGAGGUUACUCUACUAUCCUCGAUUACAGGCUGCUUAAAAUUACUUCUAGCGGCCUGGAAUCGAGGUCAGAAAAUUGCCUAAGAUCGAGGGUGUCGCAUAUUUGGAGGGUCACCUUAAAUUGAACAAUCUCGUGCAUGGACAAAGAUGAUGUGUACAGUUUUGGAGUGCUUGCUUGUGAAGUGGUGAAUGCCAGAUUUCCUGAAGCUGCUGUAUUUCUUGGUCUGCUAUCGAGUAUGGAAGGUGUAUGGCGGGAGCUCCACCCACUCAUCACCUCAGGACAGACCCUCCAUGGACACUGUGUUACACCACAUCAAACAAUUGGACUCUGAGUCUUAGUAUUGGUGCAUGAGUGUGUUAUUAAAGAAUAUGAAGAUUUAAUAAUUAUUCUUGCAAACAAAGUGGGGGAGGGGCUGCUCAAGAUGAGGGGGUGUUGCAUAUGGGGUCAGAGAUCAGAAAGCCAUGUGGACUCACUGAAAACUGUACUAGAUAUCAUGCAAGAUGAAGGCAGCCUUGAUAGCAGCCACGAUCCUCACACUCUUCUGCUCCCUUCAUAAAGCCAGCUCUCUGGGGAAGCUGAAGGUACCGGUGGUUUUACUUCCCUAUGUCCCCUCCAGCACUGGAGUCAAGAUCAACUUCACUCUGAGCUCCCCUCAAGGUUGCUUCUUUUGGUGUUGGCAAGUCCACCCUCCUCCGCUCUAUGGCGUGUCAUGAGCUGCGUCUACCAGCUGGUGUGAAUGUACUACACGUGGAGCAAGAGGUCACCGGGGACAACACAUUAGCACUGGAUAGUGUACUCGAGUGUGACACUGAGAGAGUGCAGCUGCUCGCUAGAGAGGGGGAGCUACUUCAUGGCCUCAGGGGACAAGAACACAGCAGCAGGCAGCGCUUCUGAUGAGCUGGCUGAGGUAUACCUUCCACUACAGGAGAUAGACGCUGACAAAGCACCAGCAAGAGCUGGCUGUAUUCUGGCUGGUCUGGGGUUCACUCCACAGAAGAAUGAGAUUUUAUCUGGCUAAGACACUAUUUGCAAGGGGAAGGCGUGGGUGUUUUUUCAGAAUCAGGCUCGUUUUCAGAGCUAUCUUUUAGCUGCCAUAACUUGAAUUCCGUGGAUACAAUUUCAAUGAUUUUCUGAUUUUCUGAAAGCUUAGAAAGAGACCUUUCAAAUGGUGUCAUCAAAGUUUAUAUUUGAGAGAUAAAAGUAUUUGCCAAUUUGGCCAUACCAUGGUCCAAGGCGGAAAAAUUACAAAUUAGGGCACCAACAAAAUUUUGGAUCGAAACUCAUCAUUUGAAAGGUCUCUUUCUAAGCUUUCAGAAAGUCAUAACAUGUUUGACAUUGGAUCAACGGUAUUAAAGUUAAUGGCUGUUGAAAAAUCAGGUUUGUUUUUAGAGCUAUCUUUUAGAGGCCAUAACUUGUGUUAGGAACGUCCUAUCAAAGACGCAUUCUGUAGCUCUGAGAAAGCACUAUUGUAUACAAUUAAAGUGUCUUAAAACCGCUAAUUGCUCGCAGUGCCAAAGCUCACUAAUUUGUGUGUCCUAUGCUGUAGAUGUGGGAACACGAAACCAUCGUCGGUUGUGUGCAGUGUAUUGUAGUCGUACCCCCGGGUUUGAAGUGAUCCAUGGACUACUGGACCGUGUCAUGCAGCUGCUGGAGGUGUCCUUCACCAAAGAUGGCAGUAGAUACUUUCUCAAGGCAGCUAAAGACUCUACCUAGUUCCCGGGCCGUUGUGCGGAGGUGUGUGUACGUGGGAAGGUGAUUGGGAAACUGGGCGUGCUCCAUCCUGGUGUGUCUGUUGUGCAGCUCUAGUGUGUGUGAGACUGGGAGGUGUGUCUGGUGCAGCUGUUCUCACGGCCUCCUCCAACCAGUACCUGCCCUCCGUACUCUCCAGGGAGAACCUAUCUCCUCAGGUUAGUGUGUGUUCAUCAUGACCUCCUUGACAGUAUGUACCCAGGUGUGUGUUUAGGGUCAAUACUGCAAGGUCAUGUACUGUACAUAAUUAUGUCAUGUACAUAUAAUUAUAGCCUGGAUCCCAGGGUAGGCCGGUGAACGAGGCUAGUACAUAUAAUCCUUUUGUUUGUAGUUAGGGUGCUUUAGUAACCAUUAAAGAUCUAACAUACUCUUCUUGAGGGGAGGGGUAGUUAAACACAUUAUUUUAAACAGCCAUAACUUUAAUACCGUUGAUCCAAUGUCAAAAUUUAUAUUAUUUGCUUAAAGCUUAGAAACAGACUUUCAAAUAAUGUGCUUCAAUCCAAAAUUUCUUUGGUGUAAUUUUUCGGCCUUGGACCAUCAGCUAUUAUCCUUGGUUGUGUCCAAAUUAGUUUUGUAGCUCAAAAUAAUAUGAACUUUGAUGGCGACGUUUGAAAGGUAUAUCUUAUAUACCAUUCGAUUCCUUGUUAAAAAACGCUUCUAUCUAUAUAUGCUGUAGAGCUGGUAAGCUCCACAUUUUGUGAUCUUGUGUGUGUGCAUUGGGUGCAUGAUGUGAGAUCAAUUUCAACAUGGUAUGGAGUGUUGUUAACAUGGAGGGUGACAUUGUAUGAGUGUAAUAACGUAAAUUAGUGUUCAUGCAAUCAAAGGCUAAUACAUACUAACACUGUGUAU